GUUAUGCAACUGGCGGAUAAGUGGGAUUACCCACAGGGAGCAUAACAAUAGUAAGAAGUCGACCGCCUGGGCAGCCC
RNAcentral lists this non-coding RNA (77 nucleotides) under uncultured Eubacterium sp. Its description in RNAcentral is "ZMP/ZTP riboswitch". It matches the Rfam family "ZMP/ZTP riboswitch aptamer (pfl RNA motif)". Rfam says of the family: Previously known as pfl RNA. ZMP is also known as AICAR. Lineage: Bacteria; Bacillati; Bacillota; Clostridia; Eubacteriales; Eubacteriaceae. The record is from RNAcentral.